Molecule: ribosomal RNA, 305 nt
Filed under: uncultured bacterium
Lineage: Bacteria
Description: bacterial SSU rRNA
Rfam family: Bacterial small subunit ribosomal RNA
Source: RNAcentral
CCGCCUACGGGAGGCAGCAGUGGGGAAUAUUGGGCAAUGGGCGCAAGCCUGACCCAGCAACGCCGCGUGAAGGAAGAAGGCUUUCGGGUUGUAAACUUCUUUUAUCAGGGACGAAGCAAGUGACGGUACCUGAUGAAUAAGCCACGGCUAACUACGUGCCAGCAGCCGCGGUAAUACGUAGGUGGCGAGCGUUAUCCGGAUUUACUGGGUGUAAAGGGCGUGUAGGCGGGAAUGCAAGUCCGAUGUGAAAACUAUUGGCUCAACCCAUAGCCUGCAUUUGAAACUGUAUUUCUUGAGUGCUGGAG